AGGGCAUUAGCUCAGUGGUAGAGCACUUGCCUAGAAUGUACAUUUACCUAGCGCAAGAGGUCCUGGCUUCGAUUCAUAGAUUCUUUU
This is a non-coding RNA of Lingula anatina, 87 nucleotides long. NCBI's taxonomy places the organism in Eukaryota, Metazoa, Brachiopoda, Lingulata, Lingulida, Lingulidae. The record is from Rfam.